GUUUGGAGUGGCAGGGGCAGUUGUUUCAAGAUGGCGGAUCUGGCUGUGGGACGGGAAGGAGCCGCUCGCUGGAGCAAGGAGCUUUCUGAUGAAGAGCAGCCACCUGUCUAUGUCCCAGGUCCAUGGCAAAGGAGGAAUGAAGAGUGCUUCUCUGAAGGAUUUAUGUCCUGAAGACAAGAGGCGCAUAGCAAACUUAAUUAAGGAGCUUGAAAGGAAGUUAUUGAAGAGGACCCGCUGGCAUCGUUCUCAGUCUUACACCAAGCGACGGAAACCAUAAUCCGCAUGACGUAAGUAUGGGGAGGUACUUCUAGUCUCCCUACAGCUUGUCACUGCCCCACCUAUUCAUGGUACCUCCCUUGCCAUACCCUGAAAUUGUACCUCUUGGCCAGACACAGUGCACAUUUCCUCACCAGGUUUAUGGACUGCUGGGUGCUGAUCAUUUCCUCCCCCCUUCUUUCUCUUUCCUCUUCAGUGCCCACUCUUCUCCCCUAGGAGGACCCACUUGCCAGUUGCAAAGAAGGUGUCAAGUGGGCUGGGCUGGAGAGAGAGCACAAUUCAGGGCUUGGUGUGGUGGUAGGCAGCGAUGGUGUCUCCAGUUCUGACAUGCUGUGUGCUUCCCCACAACAGGAUAUUAUCGAAGAAGAGCCCCAGGCGAAGAGGACCCACCUGACCUAAGUAUGGGGAGGUACUUUUGGUCUCCCUACAGCUUGUCACUGCCCCACCUAUUCCUGGCACCUCCCUUGCCGCACUAGGAGCUGUGGGGAGCUCUUUCAUUAGGAGGUCCCUGAUGACGGCUGGAAAUGACCCUCAGCCACCCCAGAAAGACCCCUCCCCUGAAAGUUUAUCCCAAUAUGAUAGACACCAGUUGGUGCCGUUGGAAGCAUGCAAAGAUGACAUGGUGCAGCCACCGUUUGGGGCUGCCAUUGCCGGUCCGAGGAACUGAGCGGAUGCGGCAGUUCUGUGGCCCCUUCCCGAUGACCUGCUUCCUGAACCUUCGUCCUGCUCCAUUUGCAAAAGUUUGUUGGGUUGUUGACUGAGGUCAGCGAUUGAGCGCUCGUUCCGUUUCGCUCGCAGGGAGAUGAGACAAUGUCGCAUCAAGCAAAUGCUAGCUCCCCUUUUCCAUUCUAGUUUCCCUGUCACUCUUCCCACCACCAAAAAUGUCCAAUUUGGAGUCUGUUGGGGAGCAAGUUUCCACACUUCUGUCAUUCAGGGCUGGAACAUCCUAUUGUAUGUAAUUUACUACCUAUCAAUGUGGGCUGGCUGCUUUGGCAUAACCCCAGCUUCUCUCUGGAUUUGAAGGGCCCAGCCAGGACCCAAGGAGUGGGUGGGUGGCAACAAUUAGCACAACACAAAGAGAGUGCAAGCUGAUCAACCACUGCACCAGCACUUAGCCAAAUAAAGAGGUUGAAAUCCAA
Molecule: non-coding RNA, 1415 nt
Organism: Podarcis muralis (Common wall lizard)
Lineage: Eukaryota; Metazoa; Chordata; Lepidosauria; Squamata; Lacertidae
Source: RefSeq, a predicted model, not a curated record